RNAcentral lists this ribosomal RNA (253 nucleotides) under uncultured bacterium. RNAcentral describes it as "partial 16S ribosomal RNA". It matches the Rfam family "Bacterial small subunit ribosomal RNA", at positions 524 to 776 of the family's 1533-position model. The record is from RNAcentral.
UACAGAGGGUGCGAGCGUUGUUCGGAUUGACUGGGCGUAAAGGGCGUGUAGGCGGUUGGUUAAGUCGGAUGUGAAAGCCUGGGGCUCAGCCCCAGAAGUGCAUCCGAUACUAGCCAGCUAGAGCGCGAUAGAGGAGGGUGGAAUUCCUGGUGUAGCGGUGAAAUGCGUAGAUAUCAGGAGGAACACCGGCGGCGAAGGCGGCCCUCUGGAUCGUUGCUGACGCUGAGACGCGAAAGCGUGGGGAGCAAACAGG